GAUGAACGCUGGCUACAGGCUUAACACAUGCAAGUCGAGGGGAAACGACGGGGAAGCUUGCUUCCCCGGGCGUCGACCGGCGCACGGGUGAGUAACGCGUAUCCAACCUGCCUCUGACUGAGGGAUAACCCGUCGAAAGUCGGCCUAAUACCUCAUGGUAUCGUCUGCGGGCAUCCAACGACGAUUAAAGAUUUCAUCGGUCAGGGACGGGGAUGCGUCUGAUUAGCUUGUUGGCGGGGUAACGGCCCACCAAGGCUACGAUCAGUAGGGGUUCUGAGAGGAAGGUCCCCCACAUUGGAACUGAGACACGGUCCAAACUCCUACGGGAGGCAGCAGUGAGGAAUAUUGGUCAAUGGGCGAGAGCCUGAACCAGCCAAGUAGCGUGCAGGAAGACGGCCCUAUGGGUUGUAAACUGCUUUUAUGCGGGGAUAAAGUGAGGGACGUGGCCCUCAUUGCAGGUACCGCAUGAAUAAGGACCGGCUAAUUCCGUG
This 491-nucleotide ribosomal RNA is filed under the name uncultured bacterium. Its description in RNAcentral is "partial 16S ribosomal RNA". It matches the Rfam family "Bacterial small subunit ribosomal RNA", at positions 28 to 507 of the family's 1533-position model. The record is from RNAcentral.